GAAUUGUAGUUUAUAGAAGCGUUUUCGGUGGCAGCCUGGGUAUAAAUCCUUUGGAAUAGGGUAUCAUAGAGGGUGAGAAUCCCGUCUUUGACUCAGUGCAUGCUACUAUGUGAUACGUUUUCAAAGAGUCGAGUUGUUUGGGAAUGCAGCUCAAAAUGGGUGGUAAAUUUCAUCUAAGGCUAAAUAUUGGCGAGAGACCGAUAGCGAACAAGUACCGUGAGGGAAAGAUGAAAAGAACUUUGAAAAGAGAGUUAAACAGUGCGUGAAAUUGUUGAAAGGGAAACGUUUGACACCAGUUAUGCGGGUGGAAAAUCAGUCUUUUGCAAUGGGGAGUUGUGGGCGUUCAGACCGCAAGGCUGGCGUUUGCUUCAUCUCUGUUGUAAGUGAUGCACUUUUUCAUUUGCAGGUCAACAUCAGUUUGCUUUGCUGGACAAAACCCCAAGGGAAGGUGGCAGCUUAGGCUGUGUUAUAGCCCUGGGGCGAUACAGUGGAGUGGACUGAGGUUUCGCAGUGUGUGCUCUCGGGCAAGGCUGACUGGGUGCUAUGGGAUCGUUCGGCGUACAAUGCAUGCAUUUUGCGUCGUGUCUUUUUCAUACUCGCUCAACUCGGCUCUUCCACGCUUAGGAUGUUGACUUAAUGGUUUUAAACGACCCGUCUUGAAACACGGACCAAGGAGUCUAACAUAUAUGCAAGUGUUUGGGUGGCAAACCCAUGCGCGUAAUGAAAGUGAACGUA
RNAcentral lists this ribosomal RNA (735 nucleotides) under soil fungal sp. DM2-075. RNAcentral describes it as "eukaryotic LSU rRNA". It matches the Rfam family "Eukaryotic large subunit ribosomal RNA", at positions 140 to 733 of the family's 3401-position model. The record is from RNAcentral. Lineage: Eukaryota; Fungi.